AGAGCACGAAAGCAAAGUUUGCUGACUGAAGACUUUCACUGCCGCUGACCGGGCCUCCCUGUCAUGAGAAUGAAAAUUAUUUUCUGCUUGUCAAAAAAUAUUUCCAGGGUAGAUCCUGUGUUGUAAGUCAGACAGAUAAGGACAGCAAUUUCGAUUGCCUCCUUCUUGCCUGCGUAGCGGGUGCACAUUUGCAGCCUCGUACAGCUUAGAUGCUAUCUGCAGAGACUGAGCCUUGGGAAGGUUGCCCCCACCCCCACAACAUCUCUCCUCCAGGUAAGUGACAGAGCUGAGGUCCUGGGUCUGGCAACACAAACUCUCCUGCUCGCUGAAGCCCUACCCUCCCAGAGACUGGAGAGAGAGAGAGAACUAGUCACCAUCUGGGAAGAAUUAGAGAUUUUUAUAAAAAGCCUGAUGUGGGAAUGAGAAAACCUUCAUUUGGGGCUUUGUAAUCAGUGAAGCAGAAACAUAACCUUCCUCCUUGCAGACAUUUCUGGACUCCCCGGAGAUACCUGACUAUGUACCCAACAAAUUGCUGAGGAAUCAAGUGUACGGCUUUAAACCUCCCCAUCCCCACUAGCCAGAGAAUGCUGUGUGCUGCGGCUGGGCGGGGGGCCAGGGGGGUGAACUUUACUGCUUCUUGGAUCCCAGUUCCGGUCCCUUGCCUUAACAGAGCCCAGACUUGUCAUUGGAGAGGAAGGGGGAGGCUGAGGUCACUGCCCUUCUCUUGUUUCUGCUCAGAGUGCUGCUCUUCCCCAGGGAGGUGGCAGGGCUCGGGCAGCUUUGCACCCUGCUGGCUGUGGGGUGGGAGCAGCUGAGGGGGAUCUUAAAAAGGGAAGUGGGAGAGGCAGACCCCCCCCACACUGGGUGAGGGGGAAGACAAGACACCCUUGGCCAAAGCCAAGCAUCUAGACUUCAUUUGUGGCUGUUCGGGUAGAAGUGAUACAAAGAGCCCUAAAACCAGCGGGGUCUGGCCUGAGUCCCAGCUGGAUAUCUGCAGACAGGGACAGACACCUCACCUCUCGGAUUCCAACCUGCACAGAGAGGGUCACUGGACUUUCCCACAGUCCUUCUCGGGUGCAGUGAUAAAGCAGGAAUAUAUUCAUUUUCUACUAUUGCUGAACAAAUUGUCACAAAGUUAUCUGCUUAAACCAACACCCGUUGAUUAUUUCACAGCUUUACAGGUCAGAAGUUCAGGUGGGCUCAGCUGGGUUCCCACUGAGGAGGGUCUCAUAAGGCCAAAAAUCAAGAAGUGAACAUCUAGAAGCUCUGGGAGAGAAUCUACUCCCAAGCACACUCAGGUUAUAGCAGAAUUCCUCUCUCUCAGAUCCUCUUCAUAUGGUCCCUCCAUCUUCAAGUACCAUCUUCAAGGUACCUUGAGUCCCCCCACACACACAUGUUUGAAACCAAUGACUUCUUGUCAUGCAUGUCAUGCCACCAGCCAGAGAAAACCCUCUGUCUCUAUGAGGCUUCUGGGACGAAUUUCAGGCCACCUACCAGGCAAUCUCUCUCUUGAUAAGCUCACUCACCUAAUUCAUAGUCUGUUAAUUGUGUCUUUGAAAUCCCUUUGGCCACAUAAUGGUACAGAGUCAUGGGCUUGCCGCCUCAUUCUAUUCAAGGAUCAGAAUGUGGAAUCUUAGGAGCCACAGUAAAACUUCUGCCUGCUACUGAGAACAAAACCACUUGUCAUCUUUAAAGUGCUGGAUUUGGGUGCUUUUUUUGGAGUGGGGGGGGAUACUGGGGAUUGAACUCAGGGGCACUCGACCACUGAGCCACAUCCCCAGCCCUAUUUCGUAUUUUAUUUAGAGACAGGGUCUCAUUGAGUUGCUUAGUGACUUGCCAUUGCUGAGGCUGACUUUGAACUCAUGAUCCUCCCGCCUCAGCCUCCCCAGCCACCAGGAUUACAGGCGAGCACUACCCUCCAGGCUGUGUUUGGAUUCUUAUCAUGGACUUUCCUCCUCUUGCCCCAGUUGCUCAGAGGAGAGGGUGGCACUGAGUUGGGUGGCUUUCACCCCUGACUCCUUUGUCUCCCCCUCUUCUCUCGUCUGCCCCUGGACUUUUCAUCACCUGAGAAGGCAGCCCUGCCUCAGGACCCCUGGGACUUUGCUCCUGUCCAUUAUGUCUCCCUUCCAGAGCUUCAGCCACCUCAUCUCACCCAGGUUCUUGCCUGGGCCCUGACCCUCCUCUGUACUGUUGUACUGUGCCAUCUACGUGCCCUGUGCCACCAGCAACACUCUCCUGCUCCCUUCCUGACCACUGGAGUCACCUCUACCAGCUCCCACUGCCUUAACCUGCUCUCUGUCCCCUUACCCCAGUGAGCACCUGACAAGCCACAUUUCCCAGGCCUAUGGUGACAGAGCAGAUGGAGUCUGCCUGGUCCCCUGCUGUGUUCCCAACACCCAGCCUCGUGCCAGGACUGUAGCAGGCACUCUAACAAACAUUUGGUGUGGUUUCUCUAAGUUCAUGUAUCUGUGUGGUCCAUUUGCUGAAGUGCCCCAACUUGAGCGUAUGUCACCGUGGCCCUUUCAUCAUGUGAAGCCCCAGGUCCCUCUCUGCCUCAGCCAGAGGACAGUGACCAAAGGGAGCCUGGGUAAGUGGGUCCAUGGGGAGGAAAUGCUGCCACUGGCUCUACUCUGACCUACACCACAUAUCACACACACACACACACACACACACCAGACACUCUGUGUUCCCUAGGUUGUGGCCGGGGUGGGCAAGAGCCGCCACCCCACAUGCUCUCCAUACCUGGCCUCACUCAGCUGAUCUCCAGGGGUUUACUUGUGCUGGCCUUGAUCUUUAUUCAUUCCAUCCCUGAAUUUAGGCCUGUGUUCUCUUCCCCCAGGGAUCCACCCACUUCCUCUUGGGAGCCCAGCCGAGGACAGUGUGGUUUGAAGAACAUCCUAAUCCCAGCCCCAAAGCUCUGAAAGAAAAAAUGACUAAAAACUCUGGAAUGUGGAGCCUGCUGCUUCCUGCGAAGCACUUUGAAUGAAACACGUAACCAACAGCUGCAGUUCAGAGAAUGGAAACUCUGAAGGACGUCAUGGCUCCGGGACCCAAAGAGCAGGGUUGUGAGCAGAUCAAGGUCUUGAUUUCUGCCCAGCCCAGACUCUCUGUGCCCGUCCCUCCUGCUCUUCUUCCAGGAACCAGGCCCAUCCUGCUAAGGAUAUCCUUCUGUUGCUCCCUCAUUUCAAACACGCCACGACCCCCAGCAGCCUUGGGUCUUUGAGUGUGGUGGGUUAGAUCCCACACGCAUUCACCAGUGCCCAGUGCCCAGUGCCCACCGCCCUGCCCCUCUGCCCUCUCAGGAGCAGAGGGUGAACAUGGCGCCCAUGCUGGGACUCAGCCCAGACCAUGCCUGAUGAUGAAAGGCGGCUCAUGCAAGCAGACAGAUAUGGUUACCCAGGCCGGGCACCAGGGCACACACCUGUAAUCCCAACAGUUUAGGGGGCUGAGGCAGGAGGAUCCCAAGUCCAAGUCCAGCCUCAGCAACUUAGUGAGGCUCUAAGCAACUUAGCGAGGUCUUGUCUAAAAAAUAAAAAGAGUUGAGGGUGUGUGUGUCUCAGUGGUUAAGUGCCUUGGGUUCAAUCCCCGUUACAAAAAAAAAAAAAAAAAGGUGCUGUUACUUAGUUACUCUGGCUGCUCUAGGGGUGUGGGGAACAGAGGGCCUGAAUUCCUAAAGAUCACUCCUGAGUGAAGGGAGCACACACUACCAUGUUUUCAACUUUUUUAGGGAAGUAAUAUACACAGUGACGCAC
Molecule: long non-coding RNA, 3752 nt
Filed under: Marmota monax (woodchuck)
Lineage: Eukaryota; Metazoa; Chordata; Mammalia; Rodentia; Sciuridae
Source: RNAcentral